This 421-nucleotide ribosomal RNA is filed under the name uncultured bacterium. RNAcentral describes it as "bacterial SSU rRNA". It matches the Rfam family "Bacterial small subunit ribosomal RNA", at positions 355 to 774 of the family's 1533-position model. The record is from RNAcentral.
UAAGGAAUAUUGGUCAAUGGACGCAAGUCUGAACCAGCCAUGCCGCGUGAAGGAUGAAGGUCCUCUGGAUUGUAAACUUCUUUUAUCUGGGACGAAAACGGGAUUUUUAUCUCAAUUGACGGUACCAGAGGAAUAAGCACCGGCUAACUCCGUGCCAGCAGCCGAGGUAAUACGGAGGGUGCGAGCGUUAUCCGGAUUUACUGGGUUUAAAGGGUGCGUAGGUGGGCUUAUAAGUCAGUGGUGAAAUCUCCGAGCUUAACUUGGAAACUGCCGUUGAUACUAUAGGUCUUGAAUUAUCUGGAGGUGAGCGGAAUAUGUCAUGUAGCGGUGAAAUGCUUAGAUAUGACAUAGAACACCAAUUGCGAAGGCAGCUUACUACAUAUAAAUUGACGCUGAGGCACGAAAGCGUGGGGAUCAAACA